AUGCUAUGAUGUCAAUCUUAGGACACCUUUGGAUUAACAAUGAAAGGAAAACUUUCACUGAGCAUU
This 66-nucleotide small nucleolar RNA is filed under the name Orchesella cincta. RNAcentral's name for it is "Small nucleolar RNA SNORD58". It matches the Rfam family "Small nucleolar RNA SNORD58". From Rfam's summary of the family: snoRNA U58 is found in introns 1, 3 and 6 of the ribosomal protein RPL17 gene in humans. U58 is a member of the C/D class of snoRNA which contain C (UGAUGA) and D (CUGA) box motifs. The record is from Rfam by way of RNAcentral. Lineage: Eukaryota; Metazoa; Arthropoda; Collembola; Entomobryomorpha; Orchesellidae.